This is a long non-coding RNA of Hydractinia symbiolongicarpus, 923 nucleotides long. RefSeq lists it as uncharacterized. NCBI's taxonomy places the organism in Eukaryota, Metazoa, Cnidaria, Hydrozoa, Anthoathecata, Hydractiniidae. The record is from RefSeq and is a predicted model, not a curated record. The transcript is spliced from 2 exons.
UCUGGAAAUAAUAGACAGUGUAUACCCCUAGAUAUUUCAGACACUAUCCAUUCAAAAAAUGCACAUCUAUCUAUUUAUUUCUGAACCUACUAAGAAAUGAGAAAAAGGGUAAAACGACAUCCAAUAGCUACAGCAUUAUAGCGUACCGUCUAGUUCGGAAGAUGCUUUAUCCAAAAUGCGAUUUCGUGGUUUUAAAUUUAAAUUAUUAUUAGAAUUACGUCAUUCAAAUAUGACGUGUUGUUGCAUAAUACCGAAAUGCAUUGGGUGGCGCAUUUAGCAGGAGUUCGCGGAAAAAGCCUGGACGCACACGCACGUGUUUUUGAGAUUUUGUAUACCGUUGAAGUUUUCAACUAAAAUAAAACCUUUCGAACUGUAAUUAUCGUUCAAUAAUCGAAAUAAAUAAAACGAAUAAUGAAAAUCUAGAUGGUAAGUUGUCAAAGUUUUUUUUUAUUAUUCUUGGAUAUUAUAAAGAAAAAGUAAAAGCUGGAAAUAAAUCAAAAUCGAAAAUUUUUUUCCACUGGAUACUUUGUAGAUUGUAAAAAGAAAAACAGAAAUAUAUAUUCGAAUCCAUGGAAGAUGUCGAUGUAGCAGUUAGAAAUCUCGAGAUAAAAUCAUUAUCAUUUGUCUCUGUUUAUCAAAAAGAUAAAUCAUUCGGAGUUGCUGAUAUUAAUUUAAAAAAUCACAAGAUUCUCUUCGAAGAUAUCAAGAACAAGGAGUCACCCCAACAAAUCCUUGUUGCCCUGUAACCACAUCCUAUCCGUCAUUAGUGACAAUGUCGCAGAUGUAUCCUGGAAAUCUUUAUCGUCGCGAUACACUUUAUCUCCUUUUUUCAUCUUGGAUCAUGAAGUUAUUAGCAAGGAGGUUACUUUAGAAGAUAACCAAAUGUAGAACGAUUUUAUUGACAUUAAUGAUGUCGAAACCGA